CGGUGAUUGCUUCUUCGGGUUGGUUCUGUUAACGUCGAGUUUGUGAGGACCCGUUCGUCUACGUCCGUUUUUCUUCUUCAUGGACUCGUUCUUCUUCCUUGCGGGAUCUCAGGCAAGAUGAUCAUACCCUCGAAAUCACUACUAUCUUUGCUAUGCUAGUUUGCUCGCUCUUUUGCUAUGCCAAUGCUAUGAUGCCUACCUUUUGCUUGUCAGCCUCCCAAUUGCCAUGUUGAACCUCUAACCCACCAUGUACUAGCAAACCGUUGAUUGGCUAUGUUACCGCUUUGCUCAGCCCCUCUUAUAGCGUUAUUAGUUGCAGGUGAAGAUUUGAAGUUUGUACCUUGUUGGAACAUGGAGAUGUUGUUCCUUGUUGGAACAUUUGUUUACUUGUUGGGAUAUCACAAUAUAUCUUAUUUAAUUAAUGCAUCUAUAUACUUGGUAAAGGGUGGAAGGCUCGGCCUUAUGCCUGGUGUUUUGUUCCACUCUUGCCGCCCUAGUUUCCGUCAUAUCGGUGUUAUGUUCCCGGAAUUUGCGUUCCUCACGCGGUUGGGCUAUAAUGGGAACCCCUUGACAGUUCGCCUUAAGUAAAGCUUUUUCAGCAAUGCCCAACAUUGGUUUUACCAUUUGCCACCUAGCCUCUUUUUCCCUUGGGUUUCGCGGACUCAAGGGUCAUCAUUAUUUUACCCCCCUGGGCCAGUGCUCCUCUGAGUGUUGGUCCACCUGUCAGCUGCCGGUGGCCACCAGGGGCAACUCUGGGCUGGCCUACCCGUACCUAAGACAAUCUGAGUGUGACCUGAGAAAGAGAUAUGUGCAGCUCCUAUCGGGAUUUUUCGGCACAUUCCGGCGGUGUUGCUGGUUUAGUUUUACCCUGUCGAAAUGUCUUGUUGUACCGGGAUACCGAGUCUGAUCGGAACGUCUCAGGUGGAGGUCUAUUCCUUCGUUGACCGUGAGAGCUUGUUAUGGGCUAAGUUGGGACACCCUGUAGGGAUUGAACUUUUGAAAGCCGUGCCCGUGGUUAUGGGCAGAUGGGAAUUUGUUAACGUCCGGUUGUAGAAAACCUGAACUUGACCUUAUUUAAAAUGCAUCAACAGCGUGUGUAACCGUGAUGGUCUCUUUCCGGCGGAGUCCGGGAAGUGAACACGGUUGUUGGAGUUAUGCUUGACGUAGGUUGUUAUAGGAUCACUUCUUGAUCAUACUUUUAUCGACCGUGCUUUGCCUUCUCUUCUCGCUCUCAUUUGCGUAUGUUAGCCACCAUAUAUGCUAGUCGCUUGCUGCAGCUCCACCUCAUACUUUUACCUUACCCAUAAGCUUAAAUAGUCUUGAUCGCGAGGGUGCGAGAUUGCUGAGUCCCUGUGGCUCACAGAUACUUCCAAAACCAGUUUGCAGGUGCCAAUGAGUUCGUGCAGAUGACGCAACCAAGCUCAGGAGGAGCUCGAUGAAGAUCUUGUCCUUUGUCUUGUUUCGUUCUAGUUGAUCAGUAGUGGAGCCCAGUUGGGGUCGAUCGGGACCUUUGUCGCAUUUAGGGUUCUUCUUUUAUUUUGGUUCCGUAGUCGGACCUUGAUUGUAUUUGGAUGAUGUAAUGCUUUAUUCAUGUAAUUGUGUGAAGUGGCGAUUGUAAGCCAACUAUGUAUCUCUUUCCUUAUUUAUUACAUGGGUUGUGUGAAG
This 1665-nucleotide long non-coding RNA is filed under the name Triticum aestivum (bread wheat). RNAcentral describes it as "long non-coding RNA (TAES_LNC009149)". Lineage: Eukaryota; Viridiplantae; Streptophyta; Magnoliopsida; Poales; Poaceae. The record is from RNAcentral.